This 254-nucleotide ribosomal RNA is filed under the name uncultured bacterium. Its description in RNAcentral is "partial 16S ribosomal RNA". It matches the Rfam family "Bacterial small subunit ribosomal RNA", at positions 524 to 776 of the family's 1533-position model. The record is from RNAcentral.
UACGGAGGGUGCGAGCGUUGUCCGGAAUCAUUGGGCGUAAAGGGCGCGUGGGUGGCCCGGUCAGUUCGUGGUGAAAGCGCGGGGCUCAACCCUGCGUCGGCCAUGAAGACUGCCGCGGCUGGAGCACUGUAGAGGCAGGCGGAAUUCCGGGUGUAGCGGUGGAAUGCGUAGAGAUCCGGAAGAACACCGGUGGCGAAGGCGGCCUGCUGGGCAGUUGCUGACACUGAGGCGCGACAGCGUGGGGAGCAAACAGG